UAAACCAUUGAUAAGUACUCUAGGGUGCUUGAAUCAAGGAUGUUGAUUAAACUAUAUGACUCUGAGGUCCAU
Molecule: non-coding RNA, 72 nt
Organism: Callithrix jacchus (white-tufted-ear marmoset)
Lineage: Eukaryota; Metazoa; Chordata; Mammalia; Primates; Cebidae
Source: Rfam